Molecule: ribosomal RNA, 439 nt
Filed under: uncultured bacterium
Lineage: Bacteria
Description: partial 16S ribosomal RNA
Rfam family: Bacterial small subunit ribosomal RNA
Source: RNAcentral
CUACGGGGUGCUGCAGUGAGGAAUAUUGCACAAUGGGGGGAACCCUGAUGCAGCAACGCCGCGUGGAGGAUGACGCAUUUCGGUGUGUAAACUCCUUUUAUAUGUCAAGAAAAUGACGGUAGCAUAUGAAUAAGCACCGGCUAACUCCGUGCCAGCAGCCGCGGUAACACGGAGGGUGCAAGCGUUACUCGGAAUCACUGGGCGUAAAGGACGCGUAGGCGGGUUGGAAAGUCAGGUGUGAAAUCCUACAGCUUAACUGUAGAACUGCACUUGAAACUUCUAAUCUAGAGUAUGGGAGGGGGAGAUGGAAUUAGUGGUGUAGGGGUAAAAUCCGUAGAUAUCACUAGGAAUACCUAAAGCGAAGGCGAUCUCCUGGAACAUUACUGACGCUAAGGCGUGAAAGCGUGGGGAGCAAACAGGAUUAGAUACCUGGGUAGUC